Molecule: ribosomal RNA, 205 nt
Filed under: uncultured bacterium
Lineage: Bacteria
Description: partial 16S ribosomal RNA
Rfam family: Bacterial small subunit ribosomal RNA
Source: RNAcentral
GAUUGUAGGCUGCAACUCGCCUAUAUGAAGUUGGAAUUGCUAGUAAUCGCGGAUCAGCAUGCCGCGGUGAAUACGUUCCCGGGCCUUGUACACACCGCCCGUCACACCAUGAGAGCCGGUAAUACCCGAAGUCAGUAUCCUAACCGCAAGGGGGGAGCUGCCGAAGGUAGGAUUGGCGAUUGGGGUGAAGUCGUAACAAGGUAAC